RNAcentral lists this long non-coding RNA (1382 nucleotides) under Homo sapiens (human). Its description in RNAcentral is "uncharacterized LOC105379109, transcript variant 1 (LOC105379109)". The record is from RNAcentral. Lineage: Eukaryota; Metazoa; Chordata; Mammalia; Primates; Hominidae.
UUGUAUGCCGGAAGGGAUAAAUCUGGGGCUGAGUACAAGCAAAACAAGACCAAAGGAAGCUACCUGAGCAGUCACUGGAGCCCUAAUGAUCGCAGCCAUUUCAGGAAAUGCCAUCAAUUACAGUGAGGAGCUCAUUCAGAAGUGAAAGAUGAGUUCCAUUCUCUGUUACUUAGAGAUGUCAAGGAACUUUCCUCCUGAUUGAUUUUCUACAUGCUUUAUCUCUCAUCCAUCUAGUCCCCAUUUUCUCCUUUCACUGAACACAAUUAUUUCUGGAAAGAGUAUUACACUCAGUAUUCUGCAUUUCAUAUGGCAUUUCAAAGUCCUGAGAAUGACUCUCCGUAGUCUUCUAUGUACUAAUUAAACAUGAACAUGUGGUAAACAACAUGGACUAUUCCAGUGGACAGAAAGCGUCAAGUUAAAAUGUUUAAGUGCCCCAUAUUUUUCUAAGUAUUCUUAUCCAGUUGGUCUGACUGGUCAUUAUCUGUUUUGUAAAACUUCCCAAACAACUCAUCAAUAUUUAAAUAGCUAUCCAAAUUAUAAACUUCAAAUAGCAGAAUCCAAAUGUCAUUUAUGCAUAAUUCAAAAGAACUUUGCUGAAAACAAUCUUUGGAUUACAAUUGCUCUCUAAUCCACCUCUUGAAUUUCUACAUAAGAAUUCAAUGCCAAUGCAAUUCAAAUCAAUUCAUUCAUGGUUGAUGUUAAAACUUCCUUUAAGAGGAUAGUAUGGCAGAAACAAAACUGAAUUUGAACAAGAGGGAAACUGCAGAAGAUAAACAUUUUUUCUGUAGAAAGUUUCCAACUUUUACAUUUUUGUGGUAAUUUUUAACAUUAUAGGUAUAAUUAAAUUAUCACUAAAGUUAUAUCUAUUAAUCCUAAGUGGUUUAAAAUAAUUUCUCUGUUCAAACUGAUGCAGCUCGCUAUUACAAUUUAAUAUAAUUUUUUCAAACUAUAAUUGAUUUCUAAGACUAGUAAAAUUUUUGAGCUACCAUUAACCCCAAAAUAUCUGGAAAAAGAAAAUCAUCAUAGGUAACUCCUGAUGACUCCUACCUCUUUCAGUCACAUACUUAGCAUUAUCUGCUGUACAGGUUUAAAGAAUGUUGGUCACAGGAUUGAAGUGAAUAUUUCAUUUAUGUGUAGCCAAAAUAUUAUCAUAUGAAGCCCAAAAGAAGAGUAAAAUACAUCCUUGUGAUAUUAUUAACAUGACUUUGUGCCAGACAAAGCAUAGUUACUCUACAGAUGGAUUAUGAAUAGAGAAAAAGUGUGUAGUUGAAUUCUUUGGAAUUAUGGACUAUAUUCCAUAAAUCCCAGAUGGAGUCACUAUGAUUAAUGUUACCUCAAUGAAUACAAAAUGAAUAAAUAAUUAUCCUCCACUUACUGUAAAG